UUGAACGCUGGCGGCAUGCCUUACACAUGCAAGUCGAACGGCAGCACGGGAGCAAUCCUGGUGGCGAGUGGCGAACGGGUGAGUAAUAUAUCGGAACGUGCCCAGUCGUGGGGGAUAACGCAGCGAAAGCUGUGCUAAUACCGCAUACGAUCUACGGAUGAAAGCAGGGGACCGCAAGGCCUUGCGCGGACGGAGCGGCCGAUGGCAGAUUAGGUAGUUGGUGGGAUAAAAGCUUACCAAGCCGACGAUCUGUAGCUGGUCUGAGAGGACGACCAGCCACACUGGGACUGAGACACGGCCCAGACUCCUACGGGAGGCAGCAGGGGGGAAUUUUGGACAAUGGGGGAAACCCUGAUCCAGCCAUGCCGCGUGCAGGAUGAAGGCCUUCGGGUUGUAAAGCUCUUUCAGACGGAAAGAAAUCGGGCGGGUGAAUAGCCUGCCUGGAUGACGGUACUGUCAGAAGAAGCACCGGCUAACUACGU
Molecule: ribosomal RNA, 482 nt
Filed under: uncultured bacterium
Lineage: Bacteria
Description: bacterial SSU rRNA
Rfam family: Bacterial small subunit ribosomal RNA
Source: RNAcentral